CCAAGAUCCAGCAAGGCUCCAAGUUAAAGACUGUCCUUGUAGUAUCCUUGAACCAGGAAACUCAACUCAAAGACAAGACGUGAUGCAUUCCCGCUCCCGAGAAUUGAUGAGAGUUUUGAUGCGCUGAGAGGGGCAAAGUUCUUUUCGACCUGGCGAGCGGAUACCACCAGAUACUCCUGGUCUACCUAUAUGACAUCUUGGUUUUUUCAGAGACAUUUGAG
Long non-coding RNA from Lampris incognitus (smalleye Pacific opah), 221 nucleotides. RefSeq lists it as uncharacterized. Lineage: Eukaryota; Metazoa; Chordata; Actinopteri; Lampriformes; Lampridae. The record is from RefSeq and is a predicted model, not a curated record. The transcript has 3 exons.